Long non-coding RNA from Patella vulgata (common limpet), 841 nucleotides. RefSeq lists it as uncharacterized. The transcript is spliced from 4 exons. The record is from RefSeq and is a predicted model, not a curated record. NCBI's taxonomy places the organism in Eukaryota, Metazoa, Mollusca, Gastropoda, Patellidae.
CAGGAUGAAUCUUCAGUACUGGACCGCGAUGUUUUAAAAAAAAAUGACUAUCUUCAACGAAAAACAACUGGACAGAUUAUUGUACGUUUUAUUGAACACAUAGAUGUAUCCAUUUUGUGAAUUUGUUGAAGACUAUAUUCGUGUGAUUUAAUUCUAGUUUUACCUGGUUAACUAUAACCUAUGUAAUCGAAUCAAUAUUUAGUAAUGGCCGCGGCGUUCAAUGUAACGCUGUAUCUAUCCUGUUUAUUGUCGUCUAUACAAGUUCAAGUUGUUACAGCCGCGCUCUGUACCUAUAAUUUGUAUGGUCGGUAUGAUACCUACAUCGGCUCAAGCUACAGGUUUUGUACUGGUGGAUGCUGUACUACCGGAAACCACGCCCGUCUUAAAAACGUAUGCUGUGAUACAUCCAUUACCAAUGCCACCAUAGGAAUAGUACUGGGUGUAGUGGUAUUAAUUAUCACGAUCAUUGUGGUGAUACUUAUUAUUGUAUAUUCUUUCCGUAAACGACAACAAGCCACCCAGGGUCAUGUUAUUACAGCGCCAAACACAGCUGUGGUAUAUUCUAAUAAUAUCCAAACAACUACGAUGCAUCCAGGGGUUGGUUACCCUCUACAACAAGGAAGCAAUAGCUCAUCGUCGCUCCCAACUGGACAUUCUGCUAAUCCAUCAUCUUAUGCUAUUGAUACCUCACCUAGACAAGUUAAGAAGGGCUUCGAUACACAUGUCAACAUGAAUUAGUUAUGAUUUAGAGUUGUUACUAACUGUAUAUAGAUAAGAGUUAUUAACUGUAUAUAGUUAGAAUUAUUAUUUUUGAUAUUUUUUUCCGGUGAUGUAGAAUCUU